UUAUUAUUGCAUGCUUCAUGUUAAUAUUUCAGUGUGGUUAUUAUGUAAUUGCAUGCAAUAUUCUCAUAUGAAGUUUUGUCAUUGGAACCUCCCCCUCUAUUUUUACAAGUGCUGUGUUUCAUCACAAGAAAAUACUAUUUGAUACAGAUAUGUGUAUGUGUUUACCUGAAGAUCAGAUCAAUUCUUGAAACUGACAUAAACCACUAUAUUGCAGCAAUAGACAUUGUAGUUUAGAAGACAGGCAAGAAAUGAGCCUAUUACUUUAAUUGGAAAGGCGCAUUCCUAAAUAAUCUCUUUGAUUUCAGUACCUGUUUAUCAUGUGCAGUGGUAUCAGAGGCCAGCCCUUGUCCGGUCACUGAAUAUGGGCACAUGAACUGAUCAUGCCAAGUGUGAAGGACUCCUGUGAAGACUACAGACUCACUGUUCAGCAGCUUGAUGGAUCAGACUUACAGGUCAUAAAUACUCUUAAAGCUUUGCAGAGGAGAGGGCCAUUCACAAGCUGGGGUUGGGAAAACAAUAUGUGUGAAAUAUAAAAUAGAAGACUCAAGAACACUUGUAAUCAAUUACCUGGCAGUGAUAAAUCACCUCUAGAGAAAGAGGGGAGUAACAGGAAAGGGAAACAGGGGUUCGAGAUGAUGAUAAACCAUUGUAACGUUAAUUUGGCAUCAUAGCAUAGAUGCUGUGCAGUUAUCUUGAAAUGUCUCCGAGUCUCUUCUUUGCUCAAAUUGCUAGUCUCUUGUGUAAACUUAGUUUGUUUUCUUAUGUAGAUCUGAGCAACGUUGUGUUCAUAUGCUACCUUUCAAUUUACAUGAGUGGUGACCUGACCCAUGUGGUCUGUGGGACAGCGGCACUCCACUGCUCUUUGGUAGUGCCAUCACAGGCAGUGGCUGUUAAUUGCCUGUCUUCCUUCAUUGCACACCUGAGCAAGUCAGAGAUGGCAGGAGGUUUUGACUUGGUUUAGCUCACAGGCAGGACUGAGAACAAGGCCUAGAUUUACCAUGUCACUCUCAGGUUCAAUCUGCUACUAUUCAGCAGCUGCCUUGUUUAUCCUGUCUCAUGCUUGAUUAGAAGUUUGAGUAGAUGAAUUUCCUCUUCAGGUUAAAAUGCUGCAGCCUCCUCACAUGAUUUCUCUUGUUGUUUCAGCCAAAUAUACGUGCUUGCUGCUGAAUAUUUGAGAAACCCUGUGAGGAAGUCAGAUCAAAGCUGCAUCUAAUCAUGUCUUCUGCACUGACUGUGCUUGGCAGUGGAGGCUAAAGGAGGGCAAUAAAGCUCAGGGUAUUGAAGAAGUCUCCAGAAGUACCAAGAGCUGCUGAGCCUGAGCUGUUAGGGUGAGUCCUUCCUCAAAAGCACCAGGCCAGUCUUUAAAGGGAUUCUCAGUAUGGAAAAAAUAACCCUGGAGAAGAGAGAGAAUGGACCCAUGAUGAAGCACAGUAGCAAGGAAUGGCAUCUCUGUAAAAUUAAAUGACUCACAAUUUCCCAACUGAAUGUAAAUAUGCUUUGUUCUAUGAAAAUAGUACGACUCCCCCUCCCUGAAAUGUCACUGAAAAAAACUGUAAAAGCCUAGCAUCACUGGACAUUUAUGUUUCUGCUCUCUUUAUUUUUACUUUAGCUCUGUAGUAAUACUUACUGGUACUCAUGUUGGGCUCUCCUGCGCCAUCAAAGAUAAUGGCAACAACUCACACUGUCUGCAAUAACAGCAGAACUGAACCUAGCAUGAGCCUGAUCCAGUUUGGUGGUGAAAAGCGUGAACCAAGCAGUGGACUCCCUGCAGUGCUUGUAACCUGAUUCUGUUCAGUUAAUAGUCUGAAAUCUCCAAUUAACCUUCAAGGUACGGAAGAGUGUUGCAAAUACCUGAGUUUAUUUUAGUAUUUUAAAUUUUGCCUUGCUGCUGCAGUGUAAGUGGUGUGUGCUAAUAUCAGCUACACAGUAAAAAUCAAAUUACUGAUCAA
This is a long non-coding RNA of Pezoporus occidentalis (night parrot), 1949 nucleotides long. RefSeq lists it as uncharacterized. Lineage: Eukaryota; Metazoa; Chordata; Aves; Psittaciformes; Psittacidae. The record is from RefSeq and is a predicted model, not a curated record. The transcript is spliced from 2 exons.